UACGUAGGUGGCAAGCGUUGUCCGGAUUUACUGGGCGUAAAGGGCGUGCAGGCGGUCUGUUAAGUUCAGGGUGAAAGCUCCCGGCUCAACUGGGAGAGGUCCUUGGAUACUGGCAGACUCGAGGGAGGUAGAGGAGAGUGGAAUUCCCGGUGUAGUGGUGAUAUGCGUAGAUAUGCGGAGGAACACCGAUGGCGAAGGCAAUCCCCUGGGCCUGCACUGACGCUCAUGCACGAAAGCGUGGGGAGCAAACAGG
Molecule: ribosomal RNA, 253 nt
Filed under: uncultured bacterium
Lineage: Bacteria
Description: partial 16S ribosomal RNA
Rfam family: Bacterial small subunit ribosomal RNA
Source: RNAcentral